UGCUCAUCCAAGAGUUGAAGAGAGUGAUUCUUCUGAAGAUGAGGUUGCUCCUCGAAAUACAAUUGGAGAUGUGCCCUUGGUGUGGUAUCGGGAUGAAAAACAUAUUGGUUAUGAUAUUUCUAGGAAAAAGAUAAAAAAGAAAGAAAAAGAAGAUAAAUUGCAGUCUUUCCUUGCGAGUGCAGAUGAUUCCAAAAAUUGGCGCAAAAUUUAUGAUGAGUAUAAUGAUGAGAUUGUAGAACUCAAAAAGAAAGAGACCAAACUUAUUAGUAGAUUGCUUGAAGGAAAGGCACCAGAUGCUGACUUUGAUCCAUAUGCGCCUUAUGUUGACUGGUUCAAAUGGGAUGGUGCUAAACAUCCCCUUUCAAAUGCACCUGAACCCAAGAGACGCUUCACUCGUUCAAAGAGCGAAGAUAA
Long non-coding RNA from Humulus lupulus (European hop), 414 nucleotides. RefSeq lists it as uncharacterized. The record is from RefSeq and is a predicted model, not a curated record. Lineage: Eukaryota; Viridiplantae; Streptophyta; Magnoliopsida; Rosales; Cannabaceae. The transcript is spliced from 4 exons.